RNAcentral lists this ribosomal RNA (798 nucleotides) under Leuconostoc pseudomesenteroides. Its description in RNAcentral is "bacterial SSU rRNA". It matches the Rfam family "Bacterial small subunit ribosomal RNA", at positions 36 to 816 of the family's 1533-position model. The record is from RNAcentral. Lineage: Bacteria; Bacillati; Bacillota; Bacilli; Lactobacillales; Lactobacillaceae.
CCAUGGGGGGCUUGCUAUACUGCAAGUCGAACGCACAGCGAAAGGUGCUUGCACCUUUCAAGUGAGUGGCGAACGGGUGAGUAACACGUGGACAACCUGCCUCAAGGCUGGGGAUAACAUUUGGAAACAGAUGCUAAUACCGAAUAAAACUUAGUGUCGCAUGACACAAAGUUAAAAGGCGCUUUGGCGUCACCUAGAGAUGGAUCCGCGGUGCAUUAGUUAGUUGGUGGGGUAAAGGCCUACCAAGACAAUGAUGCAUAGCCGAGUUGAGAGACUGAUCGGCCACAUUGGGACUGAGACACGGCCCAAACUCCUACGGGAGGCUGCAGUAGGGAAUCUUCCACAAUGGGCGAAAGCCUGAUGGAGCAACGCCGCGUGUGUGAUGAAGGCUUUCGGGUCGUAAAGCACUGUUGUAUGGGAAGAACAGCUAGAAUAGGGAAUGAUUUUAGUUUGACGGUACCAUACCAGAAAGGGACGGCUAAAUACGUGCCAGCAGCCGCGGUAAUACGUAUGUCCCGAGCGUUAUCCGGAUUUAUUGGGCGUAAAGCGAGCGCAGACGGUUGAUUAAGUCUGAUGUGAAAGCCCGGAGCUCAACUCCGGAAUGGCAUUGGAAACUGGUUAACUUGAGUGCAGUAGAGGUAAGUGGAACUCCAUGUGUAGCGGUGGAAUGCGUAGAUAUAUGGAAGAACACCAGUGGCGAAGGCGGCUUACUGGACUGUAACUGACGUUGAGGCUCGAAAGUGUGGGUAGCAAACAGGAUUAGAUACCCUGGUAGUCCACACCGUAAACGAUGAACAC